RNAcentral lists this transfer RNA (71 nucleotides) under Butyrivibrio proteoclasticus. It matches the Rfam family "tRNA". From Rfam's summary of the family: Transfer RNA (tRNA) molecules are approximately 80 nucleotides in length. Their secondary structure includes four short double-helical elements and three loops (D, anti-codon, and T loops). RNAcentral also lists the same sequence under 3 other names. The record is from RNAcentral. Lineage: Bacteria; Bacillati; Bacillota; Clostridia; Lachnospirales; Lachnospiraceae.
GCAGGCAUAGUACAUCGGUAGUAUAUCAGCUUCCCAAGCUGAGGAGGCGGGUUCGAUUCCCGUUGCCUGCU